UACGAAGGGGGCUAGCGUUGCUCGGAAUCACUGGGCGUAAAGCGCGCGUAGGCGGCCCGGUAAGUCCGUUGUGAAAGUCAAAGGCUCAACCUUUGAACGCCGAUGGAUACUGCCGGGCUAGAGUCCGGAAGAGGCGAGUGGAAUUCCUGGUGUAGCGGUGGAAUGCGCAGAUAUCAGGAGGAACACCAAUAGCGAAGGCAGCUCGCUGGGACGGUACUGACGCUGAGGCGCGAAAGCGUGGGGAGCGAACAGG
RNAcentral lists this ribosomal RNA (253 nucleotides) under uncultured bacterium. Its description in RNAcentral is "partial 16S ribosomal RNA". It matches the Rfam family "Bacterial small subunit ribosomal RNA", at positions 524 to 776 of the family's 1533-position model. The record is from RNAcentral.